RNAcentral lists this ribosomal RNA (301 nucleotides) under uncultured bacterium. RNAcentral's name for it is "partial 16S ribosomal RNA". It matches the Rfam family "Bacterial small subunit ribosomal RNA", at positions 509 to 807 of the family's 1533-position model. The record is from RNAcentral.
CAGCCGCCGCGGGAAUACGUAGGGUGCAAGCGUUAUCCGGAAUUAUUGGGCGUAAAGAGCUCGUAGGCGGUUUGUCGCGUCUGCUGUGAAAACUGGAGGCUCAACCUCCAGCCUGCAGUGGGUACGGGCAGACUAGAGUGCGGUAGGGGAGAUUGGAAUUCCUGGUGUAGCGGUGGAAUGCGCAGAUAUCAGGAGGAACACCGAUGGCGAAGGCAGAUCUCUGGGCCGUAACUGACGCUGAGGAGCGAAAGCGUGGGGAGCGAACAGGAUUAGAUACCCGUGUAGUCCCUGUCUCUUAUAC